This is a long non-coding RNA of Esox lucius (northern pike), 6668 nucleotides long. The record is from Ensembl. Lineage: Eukaryota; Metazoa; Chordata; Actinopteri; Esociformes; Esocidae.
CCUCCCUCACACACCCACAGUGACCUCCCUCACACACCCACAGUGACCCCCCUCACACACCCACAGUGAACUCCCUCACACACCCACAGUGACCUCCCUCACACACCCACAGUGACCUCCCUCACACACCCACAGUGACCUCCCUCACACACCCACAGUGACACCCUUCACACACUCUGAGUGACCCCCUCACACACCCAGUGACCUCCUCACACACCCAGAGUUUAGAGUUUACUGCAGCUGUGGGCUACUUAGGCCUUUGCUUUGUCAGGGAACCACAUUGUUUGCAGUGUUAAUAUGGUACACUUUGGUGUAGCUGUUUUUACAGUGGUAGGAUAUAUAUUCUUCUCUUGUGUCCCUUUAUCUUCUGUCACAAAAUGUUGAUAGGUAAUAAUAGUAGUGACACAGUAUAGUAUAAUACUGACAGUAGCAUGUUAACCUAUAAGGCAACAUGGCAGAAUCUUGGUCUAUAGUUCUGUAUUCCGCUUGCAUGGCCUUCGCACAAUGAGCCCAGGAGCCCCCUAUGAAGAGACCACCAUGAAGUCCAAUAGCUUUAUUCUAAUCACGCUUUGUGUUUCGAAGACUGGUGGGAGGGGAUUUGAAAGGAUUUUCGUUGAUGUUAUGUGAAACAGAAUCAGGGAAGUAAGCACAAAUUGCUGGUGUGUGUGUAUGUUUGUCAGCAAGAAAGAGAGAAUGAGGAAGAGAAAGUGAGCACAGUGAUAACGGCAAAAGUGAGCACAGUGAUAACGGCAAAAGUGAGCACAGUGAUAACGGCAGUAGUAAGCACAGUGAUAACAGCAAAAGUGAGCACAGUGAUAACGGCAGUAGUGAGCACAGUGAUAACGGCAGUAGUGAGCACAGUUAUAACGACAACAGUAAGCACAGUGAUAACGGCAGUAGUAAGCACAGUUAUAACGGCAGCAGUAAGCACAGUGAUAACGGCAGCAGUAAGCACAGUGAUAACGGCAGCAGUAAGCACAGUGAUAAUGGCAGCAGUAAGCACAGUGAUAACGGCAGCAGUGAGCACAGUGAUAACGGCAACAGUAAGCACAGUGAUAACGGCAACAGUGAGCACAGUGAUAACGGCAACAGUGAGCACAGUGAUAACGGCAACAGUGAGCACAGUGAUAACGGCAACAGUGAGCACAGUGAUAACGGCAGCUUUCAGCACAGUGAUAAUGGCAGCAGUAAGCACAGUGAUAACAGCAGCAGUAAGCACAGUGAUAACGGCAACAGUAAGCACAGUGAUAACGGCAGUAGAAAGCACAGUGAUAACGGCAGCAGCAAACCCAGUGAUAACGGCAGCAGUAAGAACAGUGAUAACGGCAGCAGUGAGCACAGUGAUAAUGGCAGCAGUAAGCACAGUGAUAAUGGCAGCAGUAAGCACAGUGAUAACGGCAGCAGUAAGCACAGUGAUAACGGCAGCAGUAAGCACCGUGAUAACGGCAGCAGUAAACCCAGUGAUAACGGCAGCAGUGAGCACAGUGAUAAUGGCAGCAGUAAGCACAGUGAUAACGGCAGCAGUAAGCACCGUGAUAACGGCAGCAGUAAGCACAGUGAUAACAGCAGCAGUAAGCACAGUGAUAACGGCAGCAUUAAGCACAGUGAUAACAGCAGCAGUAAGCACAGUGAUAACGGCAGCAGUAAGCACAGUGAUAACGGCAGUAGUAAGCACAGUGAUAACGGCAGCAGUAAACCCAGUGAUAAUGGCAGCAGUAAGCGCAGACAGUAACAUAGCCCUAGCAUAUAUAUAGCCCUCUAUAUAGCAGGUAAAUAUAGGAGGCUGACAAGCAUUGAAACAUAUUGUUUUAUUUAGGGAAUUUUACAAUUUGCGUGAAUGUUACAAUUUGCGUGUGUGUGGCAUGAUCGUUGGUGCCAGCCAUGCUAGUAGAAAGACAUUGCCUGGUCCAAGGAGUCCCGGUGCAGUUUACUUACAGUCCAGAGACCUAUACCCAAAUGUAUUGGCGAUGAGAUGGAAAAGUGCUGCUUGCAGCAUGAAUGUACUGCCAAUGUUCAGUCUGCAGCAACUGUGAUUCAACUGCAUCAGCAAUGACCUACAUCGUUGUGGUCAACGCCUUGUCAAAUCAUUCACCCAAAGAAAGGCUGUUCUGGAGACAAAAGGGGGUUCAACCCAGUACUAGAUACAUAGGUGUAUAUAAUUAACAGGCGUGUAUUUGUGUAUUUGCUGCAAGUCUGUUAAGUUAUGCUGUCCUCCAUAUCUGAUAGCCUUAGCAGUUGUGUGUUGUUAGUCCGGUGUGGUUAUGCUUUUAGUAGAUUUUAUCUAGAUCAUUUCCUUGUAAUGUAGUGUGCCACUGAAGCACUUGCAGCAUCCACUGCUCUCAACAAACCUCUUACACUUCCACGCCCUAAACAGCCUUCAGCUAAUUGUUGUUUGGUGUUGGUUAUGAAGCUAACAGUCUAGAGGGCUCUAUACACAAGACUGCGGUAAAGACACUACCUAUUUGCUAGCAUUCAUGCUAGACUUUCUACAUUAAUAUACCACUGUCUCAUCUAGUGUAAUGUCAGUCUCCUACUGAAUAUUUAGUGUGGUUUAAGCCAAUACCUUGUUCAUUAUGUAAAGGUUCUAACGUGUAUAACCUCAGGCCACCAUAUAUUAGCUGUUGUCUUAGAAACACUACCUCCACCAAAGAGUUAGAACUUCAUAUCAAUGAGGGCAGACUGUUGUAGUCUCCCUGUCAACUACAUUCUUUAUAGUACACACCAGAGACAGUAAUGAACAGCUCUCCAUCACUUCCAAGGCAAGAAUCCAAGAAGAAACACAGCAUUAUGUGCUGCUAUUAAUGUAAAACCUACAAAAUUAUCCAUUGCACAGAUGAAUGUUAUAAAGGGAGUCCAUACUGGGAAAUGUUUUUCUAAUAUAAUGAUUCCUUGUUUUUGCUACCAAGCACAGGCAAAUCACACUUUUAAAAUGUAUUGACAUAAGCCUAUUACUGAAUAAUCAGCACAAAAAGAUUGUAGUAUGUAUAGGCAAAGACUUGGAGUGGCACCAAUAGGAAAUAUUUUAGAAAUAGGGUAGUAUGAGCACAAAUAGGUAUAUUACAGUAGGUAUAUUACUGCAAAUGUGAUUAUUAUGGAGCUUAAAGCAGAAUGUACAACUAAACCUGCAUCAUCAACUGAACCUUUAAGCACACAGAAAAUACACCACUCCACUUUUCUUAUCUUAUCAGAAAUCACACAAUCAAUCUGAUUUGACCAGAUCAGAAUAGAGUAUGAUUUUAUAUCUAUAUUUUACUGAAGAAUGUAAACCUUUUAAUAGUUUAUUGUCAAAUCUUUAUUGAUACUUAAGAGCAAAACAGCAGUACUUCCUAAAUAGGGACAUAAUGUUUUGAUUUAAAGCAAGUUCUCUUUUACAGGGGUUCACAAUUGUUUUCCACCAGGUCCCCCUAUAUUACAUUUAAUUCCUUUAAAAAAAUUGUUGGGCAGAGAGAGGUCAACAGAAUAGUGGGCUGGCUUGCAAGAAAUUAUCAACUGACAGUGACAAACUUUGGCAUCCAAGUGAGAUCAUAUUUAAUGCUUUUGCAUUAAAGGGGCAAUUUAUGCAUUGUAAUAUCCCAAAAUGGAUAUAUAUCUGUGGAAUGAUAAUGUUUCACAGCAUUUAUUCACGAGAAGUUAUAGCGCAUACAAACAUGCAUCCUAAAAUGCAGAAAUUCUAUUGGUCAAAUCUGAAAGCUGCACUCAUUUCCUCAGCUGACAUUACUAUGACACACAAUCAUCUCUUCUCAAGUAAACAAUACCAGAAGUCAAGUCAGAUGGAGAACUUGUACAAGCACUAAGUGCCCAUUUACUAUCUGCCAGUCCGUUUACCACAAGUAUUUACUAACAAUCAUCACACAUUCAGCAAAGAGCAUGAUGUUACAGUGACUGAUGAUGAACCGGUCAGGAAAGGAAAUGUCCACUGGACAUAACCACUUUCAUUAACUAUAUGAUUUACAGUUAGCUAGGAAGCCACAUUGUUUUUAUUAUAGAUCAUUUUACUUUUUCUAGAGCAUUAAUUUAUAGACUUUUUUUUUACCAAUAUGCAAAGCCAUGGUGUUGAUGAAACAGACUUUUUAUAUUAUUGUGUAUUAUAUUUGUAUAGUAAAUAUUAUUUUAUCUGUUAAGGUGCACAGGUGUAUGUUGUAAUCAAUGUGUGAUGUAUAUUUCAUUGUAUAUUUGUCAAUUGUUCUGUUUGUAUUUUUUUUUUGUAGUCCCUUAUCUACAGUAUCAUUAUGCAAGUGUUAAGAGGAACAACAGUCACAUGAUACCCCUAUUCAAAGGGCCAUGGUCCUCCAAAACAUUGCUGUUUGUAAAAAGUGAUUUCACCAGGCAUGUCACCACCUAUUUCAGUGAGAAUGAGGUUCAGGUUUGCGGCAGGUCAUUUGAGGAGGAGGAUGGACUAUUUUGUAUGUUUUAUCAGGUUGGAAUCGGUUUUCACUCUAAUAUUCUCUUUUAAACCAGUUAUUUUUUGGUCUGUGAGACAUUUCAGAUGGAUUAUCAUGUGAUUACUGUUCCAUUGAGGUACAGUACAUUCACUUAGAGGCUUGCCCCCCAGACAUACAUGAAGAUAAAUAUCUUCAUAGGGUAAUGCAUUAUCAACCUGAUUUUAAUAUGUAGUUAUACUAGGUUUUUAAUCAUUGGCCUGGAGCCAGUCCCUCUUUUGAUUGUAUCAUCUCAAAACCCAUCACUUUAUUAAAUUUGUGAAUAUUUUGUCAGACAGAUGCUACAACCAAUAAUAAAGCAUCAUAAAUAAAAUAAAUCAGACCGGGCAACAUACUUGUGAGGUAUAUGUUUUAACUCAAAUGUUGGAACAGAAAUGUGCAGAAAAAACUAUUGAAUGUGAAUAUGAAAGCACCUUUCCUCUUCACUCAAAAAUAGUAUUAUUUUUGUUUUGUUGCCUGCAUAUUGGUUGAUCUUAUUGUUUGCCCUAGCUUGGGUGAAGUAAUCGGUCAAAGCAGUAUCUUAUACCAGUAGAGCUGCAGUAGUGGAAUAAGAUUUUAAAACCUAUAUAUGGAAAAUGAGUAGGGGUUAGGAACUGCCUCUUUGGAGCCAAAAUGUCACAUUGACUCUUGGCAUAAUGUAAUAUAUGUAUAUUUGUGUCUAUGAAUGUAAAGUAGUGAGUUUGUAGGUUUUGUCUGAACAUAAGUAAAUGCAAGGUCUUCCAAAAUAAAAGGCUUCACAAAUUGUUUUGUCAUUGAACUGAAGGCACAUCCAUAACUUUCACUCUUUUCUGACAUGAUGUAUGUACCGUUGUGCUCAGAAGUUUUCAUACCCUUGGAGAAUUGGUCAUAUAUGUACCAUUUGUAAAGAAAACAUGAGUGAGCAGGGAAAACAUGUCUAUUAUUUCUUAUGGGAUUCACAUUGUCACAAUCAUAAAACAAAACAUGGCAAAUUCUUUUUUAUAAAUGAACUGACCCCUGUUCAAAAUUCUGCAUCCCCUUAGUUCUUAAUACUGUGUAUUGCCCCCUUUAGCAUCAAUGACAGCCCCUAUGAGGCCCCAAAUUCUUGCAGGUGGUAUAGCUGCCCAUUCGUCUUGGCAAAAUACCUCCAGUUCAUGCAAAGUCUUUUGUUGUCUUGUGUGAACCACACGUUUGAGAUCUCCCCAGAGUGACUCGAUGAUAUUAAGGUCAGGACUGUGAUGGCCACUCAAGAUCCUUCACCUUUUUCUGUUGUAAUCACUGGAGGGUCAACUUGGCCUUGUGCUUAGGGUUAUUGUGCUGUAAAGUCCAAGAGCGUCCCAUGCGCAGCUUUCAUGCAGAAGAAUGCAAAUUGUCUGCCAGUAUUUUUUGAUAACAUGCUGCAUUCAUAAAUAACAUGCUGCAGCCAUAAAUUUUCACAAGAUUCCCCGUGCCUUUAAAGCUCUCACACCCCCAAAACUACAGUGUGCCAGAAGCUGUGAGGCGUGACAUGGUGUUGUCAGGCAUACUGUAACCAGGCUUUUUAGUGGCAUUGGCGCAGUAAAGGCUUCUGAAAGGCAACUCGAACAUGCAGCUCAUUUUUGUUCAAGUAUUGUCGUAUUGUGCUCCUUGAAACAAUCACACCAUCUUUUUCCAGAGCAGCCUGUAUUUCUCCUGAUGUUACCUGUGUUUUUUGUAUCCCGAACAAUUCUGGCAGUUUUGGCUGAAAUCUUUCUUGGUCUACCUGAUCUUGGCUUGGUAUCAAGAGAUCCCCAAAUUGUCCACUUCUUAAUAAGUGAUUGAACAGUACUGAAUGGCAUUUGACAGUUAUUUUCUGCUCCCCAUGGCUCAGUAUCUAGCCUGCUCAGUGUAUCCACGUGAGGGCUAAACAACUCAUUCACUAUGUAUAUAGACACUAAUUGCAAUUUAAAAGCCACAGGUGUGGGAAAUUCAACGUUGUCAUUUUCACCUGUGUGUGUCACCUUGUGUAUAUGUAACAAGGCCAAACAUUCAAGGGUAUGUAACCUUUUGAUCGGGGCCAUUUUGGGGAUUUCUGUUAUCAUUAUGAUCUAAAAAGGGGCCAAACAACUAUGUGAUAAUAAAUGGCAUCAUAUGAUCACAUUACUUAAAUAAAUGCAUAUAUUUUUGUGUGAUCAGUCAUAUUUUCUAAAUCAAUGGCAACAUUUCACAAUUUCUGCCAGGGUAUGCAAACUUAUGAGCACAACUGUACAGAAUUUAAGCUGUAUGUGAGUAAUAAUAAUUUGUGCAUACCAG